CAGCCGCCACGGUAAAACGAAGGGGGCUAGCGUUGUUCGGAUUUACUGGGCGUAAAGCGCACGUAGGCGGACUUUUAAGUCAGGGGUGAAAUCCCGGGGCUCAACCCCGGAACUGCCUUUGAUACUGGAAGUCUUGAGUAUGGUAGAGGUGAGUGGAAUUCCGAGUGUAGAGGUGAAAUUCGUAGAUAUUCGGAGGAACACCAGUGGCGAAGGCGGCUCACUGGACCAUUACUGACGCUGAGGUGCGAAAGCGCGGGGAGCAAACAGGAUUAGAUACCCCAGUAGUCCCUGUCUCUUAUAC
This 301-nucleotide ribosomal RNA is filed under the name uncultured bacterium. RNAcentral's name for it is "partial 16S ribosomal RNA". It matches the Rfam family "Bacterial small subunit ribosomal RNA", at positions 509 to 807 of the family's 1533-position model. The record is from RNAcentral.